CGUAGCAGCGGCGCAAGCCGCGUAGCUUUUUGAUUUGCCUUUGAAAAGCAAGAUCACAAGCUACGCGGCUUGCGCCGCUGCCACA
RNAcentral lists this unclassified non-coding RNA (85 nucleotides) under Pseudomonas coleopterorum. The record is from RNAcentral. Lineage: Bacteria; Pseudomonadati; Pseudomonadota; Gammaproteobacteria; Pseudomonadales; Pseudomonadaceae.